RNAcentral lists this ribosomal RNA (257 nucleotides) under uncultured prokaryote. Its description in RNAcentral is "partial 16S ribosomal RNA". It matches the Rfam family "Bacterial small subunit ribosomal RNA", at positions 524 to 780 of the family's 1533-position model. The record is from RNAcentral.
UACGGAGGAUCCGAGCGUUAUCCGGAAUUAUUGGGUUUAAAGGGUGCGUAGGCGGCCAUUUAAGUCAGCGGUGAAAGUUUGCAGCUUAACUGUAAAAUUGCCGUUGAAACUGUCGGUCUUGAGUGCAAAUGAGGUAGGCGGAAUGUGUCGUGUAGCGGUGAAAUGCAUAGAUAUGACACAGAACACCAAUUGCGAAGGCAGCUUACUGGGAUGCAACUGACACUGAUGCACGAAAGCGUGGGGAUCAAACAGGAUUA